RNAcentral lists this ribosomal RNA (449 nucleotides) under uncultured bacterium. RNAcentral's name for it is "bacterial SSU rRNA". It matches the Rfam family "Bacterial small subunit ribosomal RNA", at positions 28 to 524 of the family's 1533-position model. The record is from RNAcentral.
GAUGAACGCUGGCGGUCUGCUUAACACAUGCAAGUCGAACGAACUCUUCGGAGUGAGUGGCGGACGGGUGAGUAACGCGUGAGAAUCUGCCUGUGGGUCGGGGACAACCACUGGAAACGGUGGCUAAUACCGGAUGAGCCGAAAGGUAAAGAUUUAUUGCCCACAGAUGAGCUCGCGUCUGAUUAGCUAGUUGGUAAGGUAAAAGCGUACCAAGGCGACGAUCAGUAGCUGGUCUGAGAGGAUGAGCAGCCACACUGGGACUGAGACACGGCCCAGACUCCUACGGGAGGCAGCAGUGGGAAUUUUCCGCAAUGGGCGAAAGCCUGACGGAGCAAUACCGCGUGAGGGAAGAAGGCCUUUGGGUUGUAAACCUCUUUUCUCAAGAAAGAAGCUCUGACGGUACUUGACGAAUAAGCAUCGGCUAACUCCGUGCCAGCAGCCGCGGUAAU